AACGAACGCUGGCGGCAGGCUUAACACAUGCAAGUCGAACGGGCGUAGCAAUACGUCAGUGGCAGACGGGUGAGUAACACGUGGGAAUAUCCCUUUCAGUUCGGAAUAACUCAGGGAAACUUGAGCUAAUACCGGAUACGCCCUUCGGGAGAAAGAUUUAUCGCUGAGAGAUUAGCCCGCGUCUGAUUAGCUAGUUGGUGAGGUAAUGGCUCACCAAGGCGACGAUCAGUAGCUGGUCUGAGAGGAUGAUCAGCCACACUGGGACUGAGACACGGCCCAGACUCCUACGGGAGGCAGCAGUGGGGAAUAUUGGACAAUGGGGGAAACCCUGAUCCAGCCAUGCCGCGUGAGUGAUGAGGGCCUUAGGGUUGUAAAGCUCUUUUGCCAGGGAAGAUAAUGACUGUACCUGGAGAAUAAGCCCCGGCUAACUUCGUGCCAGCCGCCGCAGUAA
RNAcentral lists this ribosomal RNA (451 nucleotides) under uncultured bacterium. RNAcentral describes it as "partial 16S ribosomal RNA". It matches the Rfam family "Bacterial small subunit ribosomal RNA", at positions 29 to 523 of the family's 1533-position model. The record is from RNAcentral.